RNAcentral lists this ribosomal RNA (1481 nucleotides) under uncultured bacterium. RNAcentral's name for it is "bacterial SSU rRNA". It matches the Rfam family "Bacterial small subunit ribosomal RNA". The record is from RNAcentral. RNAcentral also lists the same sequence under 1 other name.
AGAGUUUGAUCCUGGCUCAGGAUGAACGCUAGCGGCAGGCUUAACACAUGCAAGUCGAGGGGUAACGGGGAAGCUUGCUUCCGCCGACGACCGGCGCACGGGUGCGUAACGCGUAUACAAUCUACCUUAUACUGGGGUAUAGCCUUUAGAAAUGAAGAUUAACCCCCCAUAGUCUCUUAGAGUGGCAUCACUUCUAGAGUAAAGGUUACGGUAUAAGAUGAGUAUGCGUUCUAUUAGUUUGUUGGUGUGGUAACGGCACACCAAGACUACGAUAGAUAGGGGCCCUGAGAGGGGGAUCCCCCACACUGGUACUGAGACACGGACCAGACUCCUACGGGAGGCAGCAGUGAGGAAUAUUGGACAAUGGAGGCAACUCUGAUCCAGCCAUGCCGCGUGCAGGAAGACUGCCCUAUGGGUUGUAAACUGCUUUUAUACAGGAAGAAACACCUCUACGUGUAGAGGCUUGACGGUACUGUAAGAAUAAGGAUCGGCUAACUCCGUGCCAGCAGCCGCGGUAAUACGGAGGAUCCAAGCGUUAUCCGGAAUCAUUGGGUUUAAAGGGUCCGUAGGUGGAUAAUUAAGUCAGAGGUGAAAUCUUGCAGCUCAACUGUAAAAUUGCCUUUGAAACUGGUUAUCUUGAGUUAUUAUGAAGUAGUUAGAAUAUGUAGUGUAGCGGUGAAAUGCAUAGAUAUUACAUAGAAUACCAAUUGCGAAGGCAGAUUACUAAUAAUCAACUGACACUGAUGGACGAAAGCGUGGGUAGCGAACAGGAUUAGAUACCCUGGUAGUCCACGCCGUAAACGAUGGUUACUAGCUGUUUGGACUUCGGUCUGAGUGGCUAAGCGAAAGUGAUAAGUAACCCACCUGGGGAGUACGUUCGCAAGAAUGAAACUCAAAGGAAUUGACGGGGGCCCGCACAAGCGGUGGAGCAUGUGGUUUAAUUCGAUGAUACGCGAGGAACCUUACCAGGGCUUAAAUGUAAGUUGCAUUAGUUAGAGAUAGCUAUUUCUUCGGACCACUUACAAGGUGCUGCAUGGUUGUCGUCAGCUCGUGCCGUGAGGUGUCAGGUUAAGUCCUAUAACGAGCGCAACCCCUGUUGUUAGUUGCCAGCGAGUCAUGUCGGGAACUCUAGCAAGACUGCCAGUGCAAACUGUGAGGAAGGUGGGGAUGACGUCAAAUCAUCACGGCCCUUACGUCCUGGGCUACACACGUGCUACAAUGGUAGGUACAGAGAGCAGCCACUGCGCGAGCAGGAGCGAAUCUAUAAAACCUAUCACAGUUCGGAUCGGAGUCUGCAACUCGACUCCGUGAAGCUGGAAUCGCUAGUAAUCGGAUAUCAGCCAUGAUCCGGUGAAUACGUUCCCGGGCCUUGUACACACCGCCCGUCAAGCCAUGGAAGUUGGAAGUGCCUGAAGUCCGUCACCGUAAGGAGCGGCCUAGGGUAAAGUCGAUAACUAGGGCUAAGUCGUAACAAGGUAACC